RNAcentral lists this ribosomal RNA (253 nucleotides) under uncultured bacterium. RNAcentral's name for it is "partial 16S ribosomal RNA". It matches the Rfam family "Bacterial small subunit ribosomal RNA", at positions 524 to 776 of the family's 1533-position model. The record is from RNAcentral.
UACGGGGGGGGCAAGCGUUGUUCGGAAUUACUGGGCGUAAAGGGCUCGUAGGUGGCCAACUAAGUCAGACGUGAAAUCCCUCAGCUCAACUCCAGAACUGCCUUUGAUACUGAGGAGCUUGAGUCCGGGAGAGGUGAGUGGAACUGCGAGUGUAGAGGUGAAAUUCGUAGAUAUUCGCAAGAACACCAGUGGCGAAGGCGGCUCACUGGCCCGGUACUGACGCUGAGGUGCGAAAGCGUGGGGAGCAAACAGG